This 543-nucleotide ribosomal RNA is filed under the name uncultured Glomeromycotina. RNAcentral's name for it is "SSU rRNA". It matches the Rfam family "Eukaryotic small subunit ribosomal RNA", at positions 548 to 1098 of the family's 1831-position model. The record is from RNAcentral. Lineage: Eukaryota; Fungi; Glomeromycota.
UUGGAGGGGAGUCUGGUGCCAGCAGCCGCGGUAAUUCCAGCUCCAAUAGCGUAUAUUAAAGUUGUUGCAGUUAAAAAGCUCGUAGUUGAAUUUCGGGGUUCUACCGUUGGUCGGGCUUUGUCUGUACUGGUGUGUAGAAUUUCUACCUUCUGGGGAACCAUCAUGCUAUUAAUUUAGCGUGGUGGGAAACCAGGACCUUUACCUUGAAAAAAUUAGUGUGUUCAAAGCAGGCUUAUGUCUGAAUACAUUAGCGUGGAAUAAUAGAAUAGGACGGUGGUCCUGUUUUGUUGGUUUCUGAAUCACCGUAAUGAUUAAUAGGGAUAGUUGGGGGCAUUAGUAUUCAAUUGUCAGAGGUGAAAUUCUUGGAUUUAUUGAAGACUAACUUCUGCGAAAGCAUUUGCCAAGGAUGUUUUCAUUAAUCAAGAACGAAAGUUAGGGGAUCGAAGACGAUCAGAUACCGUCGUAGUCUUAACCAUAAACUAUGCCGACUAGGGAUCGGACGAUGUUAAUUUUUCUUGACUCGUUCGGCGCCUUACGGGAAAC